UGAACAGGUAGGUCAUGGCUGUACGUUCUCUCUGUCUCUCCCUCCCUUUGUCUCUCUCUGUCUAUCUCUGUCUUUCUCUUGUCUAUCUGUCUCUGUCUCUGUUUUCCUUAUUUGUCACCUUCACGCUUUCACAGGUGAGGGAACAGGUAGGUCAUGGGUAUACGUUCUCUCUGUCUCUCCCUCCCUCUGUCUGUCUCUGUCUCUAUCUCUGCCCCUUACUCUUUUCUGUUUCUGUCUCUGUUUUCCUUAUUUGUUACCUUCACUCUUUACAGGUGAAUGAACAGGUAGGUCAUGGCUGUACGUUCUCUCUGUCUCUCCCUCCCUCUGUCUGUCUCUGUCUCUAUCUCUGUCCCUUGCCCUUGUCUGUCUCUGUCUCUGUCUGUUUUCCUUAUUUGUCACCUUCACUCUUUUACAGGUGAGGGAACAGGUAGGUCAUGGUUAUUCGUUCCCUCUGUCUCUCCCUCCCUCUGUCUGUCUGUUUCUAUCUGUCCCUUAUACUUGUCUUUCUCUGUCUGUUUUCCUUAUUUGUCACCUUCACUCUUUUACAGGUGAGGGAACAGGUAGGUCAUGGUUAUUCGUUCCCUCUGUCUCUCCCUCCCUCUGUCUGUCUCUGUCCCUUACUCUUUUCUGUCUCUGUCUCUGUUUUCCUUAUUUGUCACCUUCACGCUUUUACAGGUGAGGGAACAGGUAGGUCAUGGCUAUACGUUUUCUCUGUCUCUCCCUCCUACUGUCUGUCUUUUUCUAUCUCUGUCCUAUUAUUCUUAUCUAUCUCUGUCUGUUUUCCUUAUUCGUCACCUUCAC
This is a long non-coding RNA of Eriocheir sinensis (Chinese mitten crab), 801 nucleotides long. RefSeq lists it as uncharacterized. The transcript has 3 exons. The record is from RefSeq and is a predicted model, not a curated record. NCBI's taxonomy places the organism in Eukaryota, Metazoa, Arthropoda, Malacostraca, Decapoda, Varunidae.